Long non-coding RNA from Peromyscus leucopus (white-footed mouse), 2212 nucleotides. RefSeq lists it as uncharacterized. The record is from RefSeq and is a predicted model, not a curated record. NCBI's taxonomy places the organism in Eukaryota, Metazoa, Chordata, Mammalia, Rodentia, Cricetidae. The transcript is spliced from 3 exons.
GAUGAAACUGGAAAGGUUUUUUGGGGCCAUAUCUGGAGCAGAGCUUGAAUCUUAAAGAGAGUUAAAAAUGUUUGGAGAGACUGCAGUGUGGGAUGAGCAGUGAGUCAGCAGGGGAGAAUUCAAAGAAGUGCUGAGCAGACGCGAUGGUGCGGCUAGGAUGAAUCUGUGGCAGGCUCAAUCAGCACAGCUUUCUCCAGCGACACUGCUCAGCCCGACAAGGAAGCAACUGGGAGUUCAAGGUGUAGAACUCUCACUGCUUCUCCAGCACCAUGUCUGCCAAGUGCUACCACACUUCCUACCAUAAUGACAAUGGACCAAACCUUCAAACUGAUGUCUCAUUGAAGAGCUACCCAGCUGAAGGACCUGCGGAAGACAAAGUGGGACUUUGCUACUGCCCUUGAACUUGAAGAUGCCACGAAGUUUCCUAUUCUGUCCUUUGGAGAAGAAAUCUUCAUGAAGAAAGGGAGAUGCUUCUCCUGCCAGACCCUGAGAGGGAGCAGACAUCACUUGUUUAUGGUCCUGAGCCUUCAAUAACAAGCUCUAUUACCAGAGUGGAAAAAAAGAAUAGAUCUUUUGUUUGAGGCCAGGGAAGGGACUAUGUCUGCCCCGCCCCCCCAUAGGGAAUCCCCAGGGGUCAAAUGCAGGACAGUGGAUUCUGAAAGGAGAGGAUGUUCUUCAGCACAGCAUGCAGGGGAGAGGAUGGUGUGUGAAAUCCAAGGAUGAGCACCAAGAUAGAAGUUAUGAGAAAACCACUCCUAUCAAGAAUCAUCCCAGACUAUGGGUCUGUGCAGUAGAGCAUGGUAACAGAUAACAGUCUCAAAGCACAGAGGGCAUGAGGCACAUGAGUCUUUGUAAGAAAGGAAAUUUCCUACAAAGAACUUCUGUGGCACUUUAGAGUUCUUCUGAAAAGGGAAGGGAGUAUUCUGAGAGUGUGAUGUUGAAGUUCAAGACCAUUGAAAAGAUCAGAUUUCAGCCAGUUCUGAAACAACUCAAACUGAAAGCAAAUGACAGUGACUGCAUCCCAAGUGUUAUAGAAUCCAUCAUGACUGACACUUUCCAGUCAUGGCUGCCAAGUAAAGACUCUUACAGUCAACAGUUGUCAGGGUGAUCAGUUUCACGAGUAACAACUCUAGACAUCAAUAAAGUGUGAGGACAAAGUAAAGUAGCAUAUUGCUGACCUGCAGUGUGGAAUAUAACAGUCUGGUGAGGGAUAUGAAAUCCAAGGAAUAGGCUGUAUGUGGUACCCAUUCAGUCAUUUUACUGAAUUCCCCCUUUUUUUCAUUUCAAAUACUGUGCUACACAUUAAGAACACAAAAUGUACUUUAUCAGUAGCUAUCGGCUUCCUGGCAUUGAAGAGAAAGAGAUUUUUAAAAAAAACAUGUAAAUGCUGUAGGUCAGUUGAGGAAGUUAAAGCAAAGUGGGUAAGUUUAUGAGUUUGAGAGUCAAGUCCAUCCAGAAUUAUAUUAUCCUGUGUUCUUCGGAAAAUCUUAUAAAGCUUUUGAAUCUCAUUUUCUUUAUCAGCGAUACCUGAAUUGCAGAAUAUAAACAUUCACUAGAUGUUAGUUGUUGCUGCUGUUAAAAGUAAAGUAUAUAUUCAUGAGGUGAUUAAUUCUAUCUGUAUGGUUAUAGAAAGCUUCAAACAGAAAUGCAUUUGAAUUUUAUUGUGUGGGAUAAAUAUGAUUCCCCAGGAAGAAAGGAAAGGAACAGCAUUCCAAGCAAUGAACAACAUGGCUGAAGUCACAAAGACACUAAGGUAUUGGGAAGGAGGCUGAAAUGAUGAUAAAAUGUAGGAUGGGCUAUAGAGUAGAAGACCGCAUAGCUUCUAAACAAUGAGCAACUGCAGAAUGCUAGAGUAAAAAGGAUGCAGCAGUUUUUGAUUUGUUACUAUCAAGAAACACCUUUGUCAGGCUAUUUCAUGAAGAAAUAAAUUUAUUCUGGCUUACACCUUACCUGAAGGCAUAAGGUUAAGGAGCUGCAUUUGGUAAUACUUUCCUGUUGGAGGAGUCCUGCCAAGACGUAGAAAAUUACAAGUCAAGAGAUGGGGGAGGAGGCAUGCUUUCUGGUCUCUCUUUUUCCGAAGUCACAAUUCAGUAGUGGGGAUUCCAUCUGGAUAUCUAAUCCUAAUCACCUUUGAAAGGAAGCAUCUCCAAUCACCAUAGUCAAAUUACGUUCCUCCUUCUCAGCAUGUUAAUAUGGAGAUUAAGUCUCAACA